RNAcentral lists this transfer RNA (98 nucleotides) under Gemmatimonadota bacterium. RNAcentral describes it as "tRNA-Sec". It matches the Rfam family "Selenocysteine transfer RNA". Lineage: Bacteria; Pseudomonadati; Gemmatimonadota. The record is from RNAcentral. RNAcentral also lists the same sequence under 2 other names.
GGGGGCGGAUGGAGGACUGGUGUCCCCUGCGGUCUUCAAAACCGUCACGACGGCCGUGCAGGCCGUUGGCUGGGUUCGAUUCCCAGACGCUCCCGCCA